Molecule: long non-coding RNA, 1257 nt
Filed under: Struthio camelus australis
Lineage: Eukaryota; Metazoa; Chordata; Aves; Struthioniformes; Struthionidae
Description: lncRNA (ENSSCUG00000003290.1)
Source: RNAcentral
AGCAGCUCGGAGAAGGGAUCCCUUCGAAUGCCCUGCCCUCCCGUUGCCAAGAUACUGCCCCGUAUCUCACCCUUUGCUUUUGCAUGCCAACCGCAGGGGUUUUUUUGGUUUGGUUUUUGAAGUGCAAAACUGCAAAUCGCAGCAUCAGCGGCGCAUCCCAUGGAAACGGCAGUGAGACCGAAGGACAGUUUCCCAAAGCAAAGCUCUGCAUCCCCACUGUGCCCACAGCCUGGCCUGCGGGAACGGAGGAGCGCUCCCGGGGACGUCCCAAACACCGCAUCGGGAACAGGCCGCCGCGCGCCAGUUAAUCAUUCAGCUUUUGGCAUGAGCUUUUGUGCUCCCGGGGAGGCUUUUGGAGGCCUCACGCCGCCGCGCCUGCAGAGCACCAAUCCGGACGAGGGCGGUCAGCAGUGCUUGUUUAAGGAAACGCUGCCGGGCGCAAUGGAGGCCUACGUGAAUGUAAAGGUAUGUAGGAAAAGGAAAAAAAAAACUUCGUACUUAAGGAUCUCACUCAGAAACUGGUACAUGUGUUUGUGGGCGUAAUAAGCUGACCGAAGCCCAUAAUGCAUUUUGCUGUGCGCGGGCACGGCUGUCCGGGGAGGCGACAGGGACCGGAGCGGGUGAGUUUUAGUAGGUUUUCCGGGGCCGCCUGCGACAGCAUAAGCUAUUUUAAAUGAAAUAUUUCUCAGCAGUUUAGACCUUCCUUUUGUGACGUUUCGCUCACUUCAGCGCUCCCCUCGUGAGCAGGGAAGACCCGGAGCUUGCUGCAGCCUGUCGCGAUGUUCAGGCGGAAAGCAAGCGAGGAGGAGGAGGAAAGCGAGCACAAAGAAAACCUCGGUGGUGCCUUCCUUGCCGGGCAGCAUGCUGGCCGCCUGGGAUCCCGCCGCGUUUUGGGCGUGUUUCCGGGUUUCCUGGCAUUGCCGGGCAUUCGUGCUGGGACGGCUGGUGUCUGCGGCAGGUGUCUGCGGAGGAUUUCUGCCCACAAAACACCCAUCUCAGCAGAGGCCUUCCAGCAAGGUGUUUGGCUCAUUUCACGGUGGGAAUAGGCCCGGGGGUAUUUCCAAGGCCGUAAUGGCUUUUUUGGCAGCAGAGCGGGUGGCAGGUCCCUGCCGUCCUCCCUGCGGGGGGCCUCCAGGCCGCUCAGCCCCAGGCUGUCCAUGGCCUCUGCUCUUUCUGCCUCAUCACAUCACGGCCUCAUACGCCUUCCCGGUCGAGAAAUCAUCUCUUCAGCUCUGAAAUACAACCAUACCGAUCAAA